CACUUCACGGUGUUCAAUACCACCGCUGCUUCAACAAAGCAUCAAAACAUUCUCAACUUAUAAAAACGAAUCUGAAACCUUCAUUUUCAUCAUUUGAGUAUGGCACAAUCCUGGGUAUGUUUCUGGAACAGCUAAAAUUUAAUUGGUAGUUUAGGCGGAUAUCUUAUGGUGGUAGUUGAGAAUUUUAUAUGCUUCCAUUUUCCAAGAUAUUUGAGUCAAAUGCAAAGCAAGAUCGAAGCAUGAAAGCAGAUUACGAGGGGCAUUGCUGCAUCUACCAUCUCCUAGUGUUUCACUAUGAUAUGGUUUUCAAAAUUCAGAAUCAUUCCUAAAGAGUUUGAUGCGCAUGAGUAAAUGAUCAGUUCAAUUGAUUGGAAGAUAUGGUAUGCUAAACAGAAAACAUUAUUUUUCUUACAGGACUCAGAUUCAUUUCCCCGCCAAGUUCUCCUCUGCAGAGCAAAGUUUGGUAGGCAAUGUAUUUGGAGACUGUGAUACUGCGAACAACAACUAAGGAAGGGCAGUUUAAAUAAAUUGAGCAGUUUAUAAUUUAAACAAAUGCUGAACUUGACUGCUGAGUUUUGAAGUACUAUGGAACUGGUUGUAAUACGACAACAAGAUGACGCUUUACAUUGGUCGCGAAGCUUCAAAGUUGUAGAAAAGAAUUUAUGCGGAGACAACUACAGAGAUCGAGAUCUUCUUCUAGACUGUUGGAAAUACGUUCUUGCCGGUCUCAUUUUUCAGGUUCCAUUUUGUUUCUCAUCUUUAUUCAAAUUAAACACAAUUUCUAUUAGCAAUAUCUAGUUUUCUGAAUAAUUUCAAAUGUUUACUUUUUCCUAAAAAUUGAAAGGAAAAAAAAGAACUUUUUUAGCAGUGGAUGUG
Hibiscus syriacus is the source of this 876-nucleotide long non-coding RNA. RefSeq lists it as uncharacterized. The record is from RefSeq and is a predicted model, not a curated record. Lineage: Eukaryota; Viridiplantae; Streptophyta; Magnoliopsida; Malvales; Malvaceae. The transcript has 3 exons.